Molecule: ribosomal RNA, 300 nt
Filed under: uncultured Lactobacillus sp.
Lineage: Bacteria; Bacillati; Bacillota; Bacilli; Lactobacillales; Lactobacillaceae
Description: bacterial SSU rRNA
Rfam family: Bacterial small subunit ribosomal RNA
Source: RNAcentral
GGGUACCUUCUGGCCAGCAGUCGGGGUAAUAGGUAGGGGGCAAGGGUUGUCCGGAUUUAUUUGGUGUAAAGGGUGCGUAGGCGGCCCUGUAAGUCAGUGGUGAAAUAUCUCAGCUUAACUGAGAGGGUGCCAUUGAUACUGCGGGGCUUGAGUACAGAUGAGGUAGGCGGAAUUGACGGUGUAGCGGUGAAAUGCAUAGAUAUCGUCAAGAACACCGAUAGCGAAGGCAGCUUACCAAGCUGUAACUGACGCUGAGGCACGAAAGUGUGGGGAUCAAACAGGAUUAGAUACCCGGUAGUC